Molecule: unclassified non-coding RNA, 237 nt
Filed under: Melitaea cinxia (Glanville fritillary)
Lineage: Eukaryota; Metazoa; Arthropoda; Insecta; Lepidoptera; Nymphalidae
Description: misc RNA ENSMCXG00005014171.1
Source: RNAcentral
UUUCACGCAAUGGAAUGGUAUAUAUGAGCUCAUCAGGUCUAAAUUGGGAACCAGUGCUCAAUGCGUGGCUUAAGACUCGAUCACCGAGAGAGUUAGAAGUUUUCAGUACUUUGUUUGAACAAACAUUUCCGACGACUUACACCUGGUGUACCCAGAAUUUGACGUUUAGUAUGCGCGUUCUUCAAAGCAACAUUGUGUAUCAAAUGCUAAAUUUACUCGAAGGCUUAGUUCCACCAC